RNAcentral lists this non-coding RNA (27 nucleotides) under Rattus norvegicus (Norway rat). The record is from RNAcentral. Lineage: Eukaryota; Metazoa; Chordata; Mammalia; Rodentia; Muridae.
UGGUUUAAGCUAGUUGGAUUUGGAUAU